GAUGAACGCUGGCGGCGUGCCUAACACAUGCAAGUCGAGCGAUCUUCUUCGGAAGAGAGCGGCGGACGGGUGAGUAACGCGUGGGUAACCUGCCCUGUACACACGGAUAACAUACCGAAAGGUAUGCUAAUACGAGAUAAUAUACUUUUAUCACAUGGUGGAAGUAUCAAAGCUUUUGCGGUACAGGAUGGACCCGCGUCUGAUUAGCUAGUUGGUAAGGUAAUGGCUUACCAAGGCGACGAUCAGUAGCCGACCUGAGAGGGUGAUCGGCCACAUUGGAACUGAGACACGGUCCAAACUCCUAUGGGAGGCAGCAGUGGGGAAUAUUGCACAAUGGGCGAAAGCCUGAUGCUGCAACGCCGCGUGAGCGAUGAAGGCCUUCGGGUCGUAAAGCUCUGUCCUCAAGGAAGAUAAUGACGGUACUUGAGGAGGAAGCCCCGGCUAACUACGUGCCAGCCGCCGCCGUAA
This 468-nucleotide ribosomal RNA is filed under the name uncultured bacterium. Its description in RNAcentral is "partial 16S ribosomal RNA". It matches the Rfam family "Bacterial small subunit ribosomal RNA", at positions 28 to 523 of the family's 1533-position model. The record is from RNAcentral.